RNAcentral lists this transfer RNA (79 nucleotides) under Pseudomonas fluorescens A506. RNAcentral's name for it is "tRNA-Arg". It matches the Rfam family "tRNA". From Rfam's summary of the family: Transfer RNA (tRNA) molecules are approximately 80 nucleotides in length. Lineage: Bacteria; Pseudomonadati; Pseudomonadota; Gammaproteobacteria; Pseudomonadales; Pseudomonadaceae. The record is from RNAcentral.
UGUCCCAGUAGCUCAAUUGGAUAGAGCAUCCCCCUCCUAAGGGGAAGGUUGGCCGUUCGAACCGGCCCUGGGACACCAU